AUUGAACGCUGGCGGCAGGCCUAACACAUGCAAGUCGAGCGGAUGAGUGGAGCUUGCUCCAUGAUUCAGCGGCGGACGGGUGAGUAAUGCCUAGGAAUCUGCCUGGUAGUGGGGGACAACGUUUCGAAAGGAACGCUAAUACCGCAUACGUCCUACGGGAGAAAGCAGGGGACCUUCGGGCCUUGCGCUAUCAGAUGAGCCUAGGUCGGAUUAGCUAGUAGGUGAGGUAAUGGCUCACCUAGGCGACGAUCCGUAACUGGUCUGAGAGGAUGAUCAGUCACACUGGAACUGAGACACGGUCCAGACUCCUACGGGAGGCAGCAGUGGGGAAUAUUGGACAAUGGGCGAAAGCCUGAUCCAGCCAUGCCGCGUGUGUGAAGAAGGUCUUCGGAUUGUAAAGCACUUUAAGUUGGGAGGAAGGGCGAGUAAGUUAAUACCUUGCUGUUUGACGUUACCAACGGAAUAAGCACCGGCUAACUUCGUGCCAG
This 488-nucleotide ribosomal RNA is filed under the name uncultured bacterium. RNAcentral's name for it is "bacterial SSU rRNA". It matches the Rfam family "Bacterial small subunit ribosomal RNA", at positions 30 to 511 of the family's 1533-position model. The record is from RNAcentral.